RNAcentral lists this ribosomal RNA (320 nucleotides) under Clostridioides difficile. RNAcentral's name for it is "bacterial LSU rRNA". It matches the Rfam family "Bacterial large subunit ribosomal RNA", at positions 1123 to 1451 of the family's 2925-position model. Lineage: Bacteria; Bacillati; Bacillota; Clostridia; Peptostreptococcales; Peptostreptococcaceae. The record is from RNAcentral.
UCAAAGAGUGCGUAAUAGCUCACUGGCCGAGGGAUCUGGCCCCGAAGAGUUCCGGGGCUAAAACUUACUACCGAAGUUCCGGCAUCAGUAAUGACGGGUAGGGGAGCUGCCCAUACGGGUUGAAGCAGGACCGUAAGGACAUGUGGACAGUAUGGGAGUGAGAAUGUUGGCAUGAGUAGCGAGAUGUGGGUGAGAAUCCCACAGGCCGUAAACCCAAGGUUUCCAGGGGAAGGUUCGUCCGCCCUGGGUUAGUCGGGACCUAAGCUGAGGCCGAAAGGCGUAGGUGAUGGACAACAGGUUGAUAUUCCUGUACUACCGAU